Long non-coding RNA from Ailuropoda melanoleuca (giant panda), 1381 nucleotides. RefSeq lists it as uncharacterized. The record is from RefSeq and is a predicted model, not a curated record. The transcript has 4 exons. NCBI's taxonomy places the organism in Eukaryota, Metazoa, Chordata, Mammalia, Carnivora, Ursidae.
GGCAGACCCGCACAAAGAAUUGUCCCGCCCAGGAUGCCCAUUGUUACUCCAUUGAGAAGCACUGUUUUUCAUUUUGCCAGUGAGAAUAUUGAGGUACACCGUGACUGGCAUAUAGUAGGUACUCAAUAAAUACCUGUUGUCGGAUGAAUGACAUUGUCCAAGAAUUUGGUUCUUUACCUCAGCCCUCAAGUCCUGGAGAAGUGAAGAAAAUGAGGGCAGGGAGUAGGCAAAUUGUAAACUCAGAAGGGUGAGCGAAGCUUCUUGUCUUACGUAGAGCCCUCCCCCAGCCCACCACAGGGUAAAUGUGAGUAGACAACACAGAGUAGCCUCUCUCUUCCGCUUGGGAAAGAACAGCCCUGCACGAGCUGAAGAUAAUGGCUGAUUUCUGUGACUUGUUUAUAAAGCACUCCACGUUUUCUGCUUCAUCCUCCUGGCAACACUGAGAGGUUUGUUUCCUUUUUGUAGAUGUGAUAGUGAAGUCCAGAGAAUUUAAAAGGAGCUUGGGCAACAGAGGAAACUCAAGUCUGGUUGACAGUAAAAUGCCCUGUUUUUCAGGGGUUCUCCAUAGUGUUGGUCCAGAGAGGGAGAAGUCUGGAGCAAGCCUGAGCUUCCAGUCCCGCAGGAGAAGGUUGUGGACAGAUGAGGGAUGGAUAGAACAGGGUGCCUGGCUGAGCUCCCUCGGUCAGUACUGUUUACCCUCCACCAAAUGCACCCAAGGGAAGACAGUGAGCCUAAUUCCUAUUCAAAGGGUUUGAGACACAAUUAAGAUCACGAGAUGCCUGCCAUCCUGCCUCCAGGAGUCCGUGCUACAGAAAUUCCAUCUCCAGCACCAGCACAUGAACGUUUAUGACAAGGAAGUUCACUGUGCCAGGGUUUGGAACAACAAGAAAUUGGGAAAAAAUCUAAGUGCCUUCUGUGGGGAUCAGUUACCUAAGCUGGGGUACGCCUAUGUGGUAGAUCCCAUGAAGCUUUUGAAAAAGAGAGAAGAAUCGGGAAAUUGAAAUACCAAAUCUUGACAGCUGUGAAAUCUGCUGUUGAAGGGAGAGUUUCUUGAGGCCAAGUGAGGACACAGAAGGUAGCUGUCUAUGUGACUGGAAGAGUGCCCCAACUAGGAACCAAAUCAACUGGCACCUUGAUUUUGGACUUCCCAGCCUCCAGAACUGUGAGAAAUAAAUGUCUGUUGUUUAAGGAAAAAAAAAAGAAAGAAAGAAAGAAAGUCUCCUCUGUUCUCUCACAUGGCAUGGACUUCCCAAGCUGCAAGGGGUCCGUCUCCCAGAAGGCCUCCAUCUGGCCCCAGCCUCCAGCCAGUCAAGAGGAGCCCUGAAAAAGAGAGAGAGACAGCCAGCGAGAGAGGGAACACAGACAGGGAGAGUGGGAGAGG